CAACAGUAUCUAAUUGGUCUGCAAGAGUGCGUCUUGGAGGAGUUCUUUCAGCCGUCUCCUCUGUUCCUCUAUGUGGUGAAGGUGAUAGUAAUCUGUCAGGUGAACGAAACAAAUCCCUAGAUGGGCGUCUGACUCUCCUUCUCCCUCUUGCUUCGCUUAAGCCUUCAAGAAGAGGUUGCGUAUUUUUCUUGCUUCUAGUAUGUCUAGUCUCCUGUUGCAU
This 220-nucleotide long non-coding RNA is filed under the name Vigna radiata. RNAcentral describes it as "long non-coding RNA (VRAD_LNC014108)". The record is from RNAcentral. Lineage: Eukaryota; Viridiplantae; Streptophyta; Magnoliopsida; Fabales; Fabaceae.